Molecule: long non-coding RNA, 389 nt
Filed under: Mus caroli (Ryukyu mouse)
Lineage: Eukaryota; Metazoa; Chordata; Mammalia; Rodentia; Muridae
Description: RIKEN cDNA 1700101I19 gene (MGP_CAROLIEiJ_G0002310.1)
Source: RNAcentral
UCCACAGCGCUUGGGAGGGCGGUGACCGGAGGACGCUGGCGAGUAGCGGAGGAGCGAGGAGACUUAGCCGCCACUGCGCCGCCGCCACCCAGAAUUGCUGGCUUUGUUCUAGCUCUCUCCCUCUGCCCACCUAGCUGCUCCCAUAAUGCUGUGGGUUUUGCAUCCCUAAACCCCUUUGGUCCUCAGUCCAGGGGUCCCGUAUACCCGGAGACUACAGGUGUGGGUCCCCCGCCCUCCUGCAUCCCGAAGGUCCAGGACCCGCUGACUCCAGCUCUCUCCAAAAGACGAUAUCACACACAGCCUCUCUAGCAGUCUUACUGAAGAUUCGGGAUUCUAAGGCUUGGAAGAACGAGCAAGUCAAUGUGGGGAGGAAGAAAAUCAUAAAUUAA